Molecule: long non-coding RNA, 248 nt
Filed under: Elaeis guineensis (African oil palm)
Lineage: Eukaryota; Viridiplantae; Streptophyta; Magnoliopsida; Arecales; Arecaceae
Description: long non-coding RNA (EGUI_LNC061141)
Source: RNAcentral
UGGCUCAAUUAAUUUAUAAAUUUGAUUAGAUUUAAUUAAGAUUAUAGGAGCCUAAUUAAAUUAGAUUUAUCAUAUUUUAUUUGGAUCUAAUUGGAUUGGAUUUGAAAAAAAUUCAAUUGGUUAAACCCUACAGUCCCAAAUGAAUGGGACUCUCUCCCUUGCGCCACCCAAAUUAUCUUGUGCCUUUUCUCACCAUACAAAAUUAGUUUGUGUGUAAGAAAAUUAGAAGAUAACUCUUCUUUUAUCAU